Molecule: long non-coding RNA, 341 nt
Organism: Limulus polyphemus (Atlantic horseshoe crab)
Lineage: Eukaryota; Metazoa; Arthropoda; Merostomata; Xiphosura; Limulidae
Exons: 3
Source: RefSeq, a predicted model, not a curated record
GGUUUAGUGAUGUAGUCUUCGAACGUCUAUGAAAGAGCUCAUCCAGAGAUUUAACAGGAAGGCUGCUCAACAGAUUUGCCGACUUAUUGGAACGAGACAAGGACUACUUGGCUAGCCUAGAAACUAUGGACUGUGGGAAACCAUUUAAAGAUUCUUUAGGAGAUAUGGAAAUGGGAAUUAAAACUAUUCGUUAUUAUGCUGGAUGGGCAGAUAAGGUUCAUGGAAAGACUAUACCAGUAGAUGGUAAUCUUUUCAGCUUCACAAGAAUUGAACCUGUGGGAGUGUGUGGCAUGAUUGUCCCUGUAAGAAAUUCCUUAUGUCAUUUGUAGUUAAAAGUAACA